This 523-nucleotide ribosomal RNA is filed under the name uncultured bacterium. RNAcentral describes it as "partial 16S ribosomal RNA". It matches the Rfam family "Bacterial small subunit ribosomal RNA", at positions 355 to 869 of the family's 1533-position model. The record is from RNAcentral.
UAGGGAAUCUUCCACAAUGGACGCAAGUCUGAUGGAGCAACGCCGCGUGAGUGAAGAAGGUUUUCGGACCGUAAAGCUCUGUUGUUGGUGAAGAAGGAUAGAGGUAGUAACUGGCCUUUAUUUGACGGUAAUCAACCAGAAAGUCACGGCUAACUACGUGCCAGCAGCCGCGGUAAUACGUAGGUGGCAAGCGUUGUCCGGAUUUAUUGGGCGUAAAGCGAGCGCAGGCGGAAGAAUAAGUCUGAUGUGAAAGCCCUCGGCUUAACCGAGGAAUUGCAUCGGAAACUGUUUUCUUGAGUGCAGAAGAGGAGAGUAGAACUCCAUGUGUAGCGGUGAAAUGCGUAGAUAUAUGGAAGAACACCAGUGGCGAAGGCGGCUGUCUGGUCUGCAACUGACGCUGAGGCUCGAAAGCAUGGGUAGCGAACAGGAUUAGAUACCCUGGUAGUCCAUGCCGUAAACGAUGAGUGCUAAGUGUUGGAGGGUUUUCCGCCCUUCAGUGCUGCAGCUAACGCAUUAAGCACUC